UAUCGCGUAGCUCAGUUGGAAGAGCAUUGGGCUAGUAUUCCAAAGGUCGUAGGUUCGAAUCCCACCGUGGCCG
This is a non-coding RNA of Paramuricea clavata, 73 nucleotides long. Lineage: Eukaryota; Metazoa; Cnidaria; Anthozoa; Malacalcyonacea; Plexauridae. The record is from the annotation of a GenBank genome assembly.